AGAACGAACGCUGGCGGCGUGGAUAAGACAUGCAAGUCGAGCGGGAUUUCCUUUAGUAGCAAUACCGAAGGAAGUCUAGCGGCGAACGGGUGCUUAACACGUGGGCAACCUGCCAAGAAGUGGGGGAUAGCUCGCCGAAAGGCGAAUUAAUACCGCAUGUGAUUAGAGUGGACAUCCAUUCGAAAUUAAAGUCGGGGCAACCUGACGCUUUUUGUGGGGCCCGCGGCCUAUCAGCUAGUUGGUGAGGUAACGGCCCACCAAGGCUUUGACGGGUAGCUGGUCUGAGAGGACGACCAGCCACACUGGGACUGAGACACGGCCCAGACACCUACGGGUGGCAGCAGUCGAGAAUUUUUUCUCAAUGGGGGAAACCCUGAAGGAGCGACGCCGCGUGGAGGAUGAAGGUCUUCUGAGUUGUAAACUCCUUUCAGCAGGGACGAUUGUAACGGUACUGCAGAAGAGCACCGGCCAACUACGCGCCAGCAGCCGCGGU
This 493-nucleotide ribosomal RNA is filed under the name uncultured bacterium. Its description in RNAcentral is "SSU rRNA". It matches the Rfam family "Bacterial small subunit ribosomal RNA", at positions 26 to 521 of the family's 1533-position model. The record is from RNAcentral.